AAAUUGAAGAGUUUGAUCAUGGCUCAGAUUGAACGCUGGCGGCAGGCCUAACACAUGCAAGUCGAACGGUAACAGGAAACAGCUUGCUGUUUCGCUGACGAGUGGCGGACGGGUGAGUAAUGUCUGGGAAACUGCCUGAUGGAGGGGGAUAACUACUGGAAACGGUAGCUAAUACCGCAUAACGUCGCAAGACCAAAGAGGGGGACCUUCGGGCCUCUUGCCAUCAGAUGUGCCCAGAUGGGAUUAGCUAGUAGGUGGGGUAACGGCUCACCUAGGCGACGAUCCCUAGCUGGUCUGAGAGGAUGACCAGCCACACUGGAACUGAGACACGGUCCAGACUCCUACGGGAGGCAGCAGUGGGGAAUAUUGCACAAUGGGCGCAAGCCUGAUGCAGCCAUGCCGCGUGUAUGAAGAAGGCCUUCGGGUUGUAAAGUACUUUCAGCGGGGAGGAAGGGAGUAAAGUUAAUACCUUUGCUCAUUGACGUUACCCGCAGAAGAAGCACCGGCUAACUCCGUGCCAGCAGCCGCGGUAAUACGGAGGGUGCAAGCGUUAAUCGGAAUUACUGGGCGUAAAGCGCACGCAGGCGGUUUGUUAAGUCAGAUGUGAAAUCCCCGGGCUCAACCUGGGAACUGCAUCUGAUACUGGCAAGCUUGAGUCUCGUAGAGGGGGGGAGAAUUCCAGGUGUAGCGGUGAAAUGCGUAGAGAUCUGGAGGAAUACCGGUGGCGAAGGCGGCCCCCCUGGACGAAGACUGACGCUCAGGUGCGAAAGCGUGGGGAGCAAACAGGAUUAGAUACCCUGGUAGUCCACGCCGUAAACGAUGUCGACUUGGAGGUUGUGCCCUUGAGGCGUGGCUUCCGGAGCUAACGCGUUAAGUCGACCGCCUGGGGAGUACGGCCGCAAGGUUAAAACUCAAAUGAAUUGACGGGGGCCCGCACAAGCGGUGGAGCAUGUGGUUUAAUUCGAUGCAACGCGAAGAACCUUACCUGGUCUUGACAUCCACGGAAGUUUUCAGAGAUGAGAAUGUGCCUUCGGGAACCGUGAGACAGGUGCUGCAUGGCUGUCGUCAGCUCGUGUUGUGAAAUGUUGGGUUAAGUCCCGCAACGAGCGCAACCCUUAUCCUUUGUUGCCAGCGGUCCGGCCGGGAACUCAAAGGAGACUGCCAGUGAUAAACUGGAGGAAGGUGGGGAUGACGUCAAGUCAUCAUGGCCCUUACGACCAGGGCUACACACGUGCUACAAUGGCGCAUACAAAGAGAAGCGACCUCGCGAGAGCAAGCGGACCUCAUAAAGUGCGUCGUAGUCCGGAUUGGAGUCUGCAACUCGACUCCAUGAAGUCGGAAUCGCUAGUAAUCGUGGAUCAGAAUGCCACGGUGAAUACGUUCCCGGGCCUUGUACACACCGCCCGUCACACCAUGGGAGUGGGUUGCAAAAGAAGUAGGUAGCUUAACCUUCGGGAGGGCGCUUACCACUUUGUGAUUCAUGACUGGGGUGAAGUCGUAACAAGGUAACCGUAGGGGAACCUGCGGUUGGAUCACCUCCUUA
RNAcentral lists this ribosomal RNA (1543 nucleotides) under Escherichia coli. RNAcentral describes it as "bacterial SSU rRNA". It matches the Rfam family "Bacterial small subunit ribosomal RNA". The record is from RNAcentral. Lineage: Bacteria; Pseudomonadati; Pseudomonadota; Gammaproteobacteria; Enterobacterales; Enterobacteriaceae.